UGGCCGUCUGACCUCGGCAAAUACACGUUUAAUACCGCCGUGAACCGAAGUCUGCCGCUCAGAUUCCCGCUGCUUUGCUAUGCCCUUAGACUGCUCGCGCCUGCAGCAACAAUGUAUAGGGAUCAAAUCUACUGUAACGGGCAGUGCUUGAGGAUUUCUCAGCUUCCGGCAUGAUUUACUGGGUGACUUCUUUCUGUUGCAACCAAAGCAACCAAUAGCAUAAAUAAGAUUAUUUAGCUGCAAAGGGCACCAGCUUGCAGGGAUCCCAGCAAGGAGGACCAGCAGCAGCAGCCAUAACUUCAGACUUCCUGUACAACCACCAGCAAGCUGACCAGUCAGGCUUUGUUCAGUUUCCACAUCUGUAAAAUCAGCUCAAAACAUGAAGGAGAUUCUGAGUUUUAUUUAAAAAUAAAAUUGUUGCAGUCAUCUUUUUUGCAAGGAGAGCCUAGGACCUACGGAUAUAGCAGAAGAACACAAGUGGCUGUACCCCAUGCCAGCCUAUCAGGAGGUUUUAAGUGAGAAAAGAAAACUCCCUUCACGCAGUGCAGUGUUUUACUAGUUGAAUCACCCUUCAUGUUCUCAACAGUCGGGGCCCAGCUGUGUUCCAGACCAAAUAAUGACAAGAAAAGUCAGAUGAGCUAAUAGGAGCUGGGAAGGGAGACCAAGACUUGUCCAGAUUAACGAAAGGAUUCAAACCUAUGUCAUCUCAGUCUUAAUGCAGCAUCCCAGUGAUAUAUGCUUAUUUAGCAGUUUACAUCUGGUGCCUAAUCCAAAGUGUAAGCUCAUCUCAUUGCCCCUCCUUGCAUUCCUACGCUAGCUUCGUGCUUUGUGUGACAGCAGUAAGCGUUCAGUGGGUGGGGAACAUGAACUUCAC
RNAcentral lists this long non-coding RNA (874 nucleotides) under Struthio camelus australis. Its description in RNAcentral is "lncRNA (ENSSCUG00000012937.1)". The record is from RNAcentral. Lineage: Eukaryota; Metazoa; Chordata; Aves; Struthioniformes; Struthionidae.